AAGUCGUAACAAGGUUUCCGUAGGUGAACCUGCGGAAGGAUCAUUAUCGAAUGUGUCCCUCACACACACACACCGUGCACUUUCGGGCGACCCCGGUCGUCCGCUUUUUCCCCGACUACGCAUGUCUCGAAUGUGAUGUCUUCGUUAACGCGAAACAACUUUCGACAACGGAUCUCUUGGCUCUC
RNAcentral lists this unclassified non-coding RNA (185 nucleotides) under fungal sp. RNAcentral describes it as "partial internal transcribed spacer region". The stretch from base 1 to 46 matches the Rfam family "Eukaryotic small subunit ribosomal RNA", at positions 1786 to 1831 of the family's 1831-position model. Lineage: Eukaryota; Fungi. The record is from RNAcentral.